This is an RNA transcript of Nycticebus coucang (slow loris), 1796 nucleotides long. It is a transcript of the gene named protein FAM133B-like, with no coding region annotated. The record is from RefSeq and is a predicted model, not a curated record. NCBI's taxonomy places the organism in Eukaryota, Metazoa, Chordata, Mammalia, Primates, Lorisidae. The transcript has a single exon.
CCAUGGGGAAGCGCGAUAAUCAAGUGGCCUAUAUGAACCCAAUAGCAAUGGCCAGAUCAAGGGGUCCAAUCCAGUCUUCAGGGCCAACAAUCCAGGAUUAUCUGAAUUGACCAAGGCCUACCUGGGAAGAAGUAAAAGAGCAACUAGAAAAGAAAAAGGUUCCAAGGCUUUGGCUGAAUUUGAAGAAAAAAAUGAAUGAGAACUGGAAGAAAGAACUAGAAAAACACAGGGAGAAAUUGUUAAGUGGAAGUGAGAGCUCAUCCAAAAAGAGACAGAGAAAGAAAAAAGAAAAGAAGAAAUCUGGUAGGUAUUCAUCUUCUUCAUCAAGCUUCAGAUUCUGAAGAUGAGGAUAAGAAACAAGGAAAACGGAGAAAGAAAAAGAAGACCCGUUCACAUCGAUCUUCUGAAAGUUCCAUUUCGGCAACUGAAUCAGACAGUAAGGAUAGUUUAAAAAAGAAAAAGAAGUCAAAGGAAACAACUGAGAAAGAAAAGGACAUUAAAGGAACCAGCAAAAAAAGAAAGAUGUGUCCUGAAGAUAAACCUUUAUCAUCUGAGUCCUUAUCAGAAUCAGAUUAUAUCGAGGAGACACAAGCAAAAAAGAAGAAAAGCAGUGAAGAACGAGAAAAAGCAACAGAAAAAAACAAAAAAGAAAAAGAAACAUAAGAAACACAGUAAGAAGAAGAAAAAGAAGUCUGCAAGUUCAAGUCCUGACUCGCCCUAACAUUAAGAAAAAAUCAGGAUUCCCUUAUAAAAGAAAGUGCACUGUCUAAGGAAAUUUCAACUGUGAAAACUACGACAUAUUUACUAAAAUGCAUGAAUUUUCUUGUUUUUAGAAUUAUUCCUGGACUAUUCAGUAGCCACUAAGGGUCCACUGUGUGAAAGGGGCGUAAUUAUUGCCUGCUGCUUGAACAUCUAGUUUUUCUCUUCCAGUGCUUGAUGACUAACUCUGGGAGAUGAUACACUGCAGUUGUACUAGUGGUCGAGAUAUAGUAUUUGGGAAUAAAAUUAAUAUUUUUGACUAGAAAUGUCCAAUGAUAAAUCAACAGAAAUUGAAUCUGGAUACAUCUUUAAGAGAUAAUCAGUAAUGGCCAGAAGACUCUAGUUAAAAUUUUUGAAGUAAGGAUUAUAUUGAUAUUUUAAAAUCCUUAGUCUGUAGAUAGGCUCAUUUUAAUUUUUCCCCUUUGUAUACUUUUUAUUUACCUGGGGAAGGAGCUAUUAGGGUUGGGGGGUUGGUUUGCUUCUCUUUAGCUAGCAGAAUAGCGUGCCUUUGAUCCUCACACAUCCUAUAUUUGUGGACACAGCCAUGUUUUAUUGGGAGGUCAGAGUUGGAUACCAGCAGUCUUACCCUUUACUGCACUUAGUGACAUCCUUGGAGUCUAUUGUAUGCUGCUUUGAGUGAUUAGAGAAACAGCCCUUUGCAGCAUGAGAAAGCCCCAGAAGGUCUGGGAUUUACCUCCACUUCAAUAAGACUGAAUGUUUUUUAGUGUUAGAAUGUGUUAUGUCUUUUGAAUUAAUUUUGAUUCUACUUUGGCUUUAGAGAGGAAUCAUUUCAAAUGGACACUGGUACUUUUUGAACUUGAUAGCUAAUGAUUCUAAAAUGCAUGUUUUAUACUAUUAAGUUUAAUCCAGUCAAGAAAAUUUUAUGUAACUAGUGAUAGUUACUUUAUUUUUUUGUAUGAAUUUUGUUUAGGCUGCAAUGUUUAGCUUUUGUUAACUCCUUACUUUACUGUUUUAAAUUCAUAGCUAUGUUUAAUGGCAUAUUUGCUACAAUAUUUAGCAUGUAAAAAAGCAGGGUC